UACGGGGGGUGCAAGCGUUGUUCGGAUUUAUUGGGCGUGAAGCGCGUGUAGGCGGUUUUUUGAGUCUGAUGUGAAAGCCCUGGGCUCAACCCGGGAAGUGCAUUGGAUACUGGAAGACUUGAAUACGGGAGAGGGCAGUGGAAUUCCUAGUGUAGGAGUGAAAUCCGUAGAUAUUAGGAGGAACACCGGUGGCGAAGGCGGCUGCCUGGACCGAUAUUGACGCUGAGACGCGAAAGCGUGGGUAGCAAACAGG
RNAcentral lists this ribosomal RNA (253 nucleotides) under uncultured Geobacter sp. RNAcentral's name for it is "partial 16S ribosomal RNA". It matches the Rfam family "Bacterial small subunit ribosomal RNA", at positions 524 to 776 of the family's 1533-position model. Lineage: Bacteria; Pseudomonadati; Thermodesulfobacteriota; Desulfuromonadia; Geobacterales; Geobacteraceae. The record is from RNAcentral.